UACAGAGGUGGCAAGCGUUGUUCGGAAUUACUGGGCGUAAAGGGUGCGUAGGUGGCGCGGUAAGUCGGGUGUGAAAUCUCGGAGCUUAACUCCGAAAUUGCAUUCGAUACUGCCGUGCUCGAGGACUGGAGAGGAGACUGGAAUUCAUGGUGUAGCAGUGAAAUGCGUAGAGAUCAUGAGGAAGACCAGUGGCGAAGGCGGGUCUCUGGACAGUUCCUGACACUGAGGCACGAAGGCCAGGGGAGCAAACGGG
Molecule: ribosomal RNA, 253 nt
Filed under: uncultured bacterium
Lineage: Bacteria
Description: partial 16S ribosomal RNA
Rfam family: Bacterial small subunit ribosomal RNA
Source: RNAcentral